Molecule: non-coding RNA, 26 nt
Filed under: Homo sapiens (human)
Lineage: Eukaryota; Metazoa; Chordata; Mammalia; Primates; Hominidae
Source: RNAcentral
CCCAGGCCCUGCUUUUGACUUUCCGC